RNAcentral lists this ribosomal RNA (537 nucleotides) under uncultured marine picoplankton. RNAcentral describes it as "bacterial SSU rRNA". It matches the Rfam family "Eukaryotic small subunit ribosomal RNA", at positions 601 to 1142 of the family's 1831-position model. The record is from RNAcentral.
AUAUUAAAGUUGUUGCAGUUAAAAAGCUCGUAGUUGGAUUGGUGUUGGUUAUGUUUCUCUGGGAAAUUCUCAAAGCGACGUUAACCAAUAUAUUUGGGAUUUGGUCUAGAAUGGCAUUAAGUUGUUGAUUUAGUUCCAGCCCAUCGUUUACUGUGAAAAAAUUAGAGUGUUUAAAGCAGGUUUUAUAACCGUUGAAUACAUUAGCAUGGAAUAAUAAUAUAUGACUCGUAUGGUCUAUUUUGUUGGUUUGCACGUAUGAGUAAUGAUUAAUAGGGACAGUUGGGGGUAUUCAUAUUUGAGCGUCAGAGGUGAAAUUCUUGGAUCGCUGAAAGAUGAGCUAAGGCGAAAGCAUUUACCAAGGAUGUUUUCAUUAAUCAAGAACGAAAGUUAGGGGAUCGAAGAUGAUUAGAUACCAUCGUAGUCUUAACCAUAAACUAUGCCGACUCGGGAUUGUGUUUAGGGAUUAAACCGAACGCAGCACCGUAUGAGAAAUCAAAGUCUUUGGGUUCCGGGGGGAGUAUAGUCACAAGGCUUAAA